This 250-nucleotide ribosomal RNA is filed under the name uncultured bacterium. RNAcentral's name for it is "partial 16S ribosomal RNA". It matches the Rfam family "Bacterial small subunit ribosomal RNA", at positions 524 to 773 of the family's 1533-position model. The record is from RNAcentral.
UACGGAGGGUGCAAGCGUUAUCCGGAUUUAUUGGGUUUAAAGGGUGCGUAGGCGGUAUAUUAAGUCAGUGGUGAAAUCCUGCAGCUUAACUGUAGAUGUGCCAUUGAAACUGAUGUACUUGAGUUAUCUUGAGGUAGGCGGAAUGUGUAGUGUAGCGGUGAAAUGCUUAGAUAUUACACAGAACACCGAUUGCGAAGGCAGCUUACUAAGGGUAUACUGACGCUGAGGCACGAAAGCGUGGGGAUCGAAC